Molecule: ribosomal RNA, 490 nt
Filed under: uncultured bacterium
Lineage: Bacteria
Description: bacterial SSU rRNA
Rfam family: Bacterial small subunit ribosomal RNA
Source: RNAcentral
GAGUUUGAUCCUGGCUCAGGAUGAACGCUGGCGGCGUGCCUAACACAUGCAAGUCGAGCGAUUUACUUCGGUAAAGAGCGGCGGACGGGUGAGUAACGCGUGGGUAACCUGCCUCAUUCACAUGGAUAACAUACCGAAAGGUAUGCUAAUACAGGAUAAUAUAAGAGAUUCACAUGGAUUUCUUAUCAAAGCUCCGGCGGUAUGAGAUGGACCCGCGUCUGAUUAGCUAGUUGGUAAGGUAAUGGCUUACCAAGGCGACGAUCAGUAGCCGACCUGAGAGGGUGAUCGGCCACAUUGGAACUGAGACACGGUCCAAACUCCUACGGGAGGCAGCAGUGGGGAAUAUUGCACAAUGGGCGAAAGCCUGAUGCAGCAACGCCGCGUGAGUGAUGAAGGCCUUCGGGUCGUAAAACUCUGUCCUCAAGGAAGAUAAUGACGGUACUUGAGGAGGAAGCCCCGGCUAACUACGUGCCAGCAGCCGCGGUAAUAC